This 433-nucleotide ribosomal RNA is filed under the name uncultured cyanobacterium. RNAcentral's name for it is "bacterial SSU rRNA". It matches the Rfam family "Bacterial small subunit ribosomal RNA", at positions 958 to 1392 of the family's 1533-position model. The record is from RNAcentral. Lineage: Bacteria; Bacillati; Cyanobacteriota.
AACGCGAAGAACCUUACCAGGGUUUGACAUCCUGCGAAUCCCUUGGAAACGAGGGAGUGCCUUCGGGAGCGCAGAGACAGGUGGUGCAUGGCUGUCGUCAGCUCGUGUCGUGAGAUGUUGGGUUAAGUCCCGCAACGAGCGCAACCCACGUCUUUAGUUGCCAGCAUUCAGUUGGGCACUCUAGAGAGACCGCCGGUGAUAAACCGGAGGAAGGUGUGGAUGACGUCAAGUCAUCAUGCCCCUUACAUCCUGGGCUACACACGUACUACAGUGCUACGGACAAAGGGCAGCAAGCUCGCGAGAGUAAGCAAAUCCCAUAAACCGUGGCUCAGUUCAGAUCGUAGGCUGCAACUCGCCUACGUGAAGGAGGAAUCGCUAGUAAUCGCAGGUCAGCAUACUGCGGUGAAUACGUUCCCGGGCCUUGUACACACCG